GGAAAGGAUCCUAACAAGCCGAAGAGGCCUCCGAGUGCCUUCUUUGUUUUCAUGGAUGAGUUCAGGGUGACUUAUAAGAAGAAGAAUCCCAAUGAGAAACAGGUUUCUGUGGUUGGUAAGGCCGGUGGAGUGAAGUGGAAGUCUCUGUCUGAUGCUGAGAAGGCUCCCUAUGUGACCAAGGCUGAGAAGUUGAAGGCUGAGUAUGCGAAGAAGUUAGCUGCUUAUAACAACAACCCUGUGGGUGAGGAAGAAUCUGAUAAGUCAAAAUCUGAAGUGAAUGAUGAGGAAGGAAGUGAAGAGGAAGAUGAGGUGGAGGAUGAG
This 321-nucleotide unclassified non-coding RNA is filed under the name Hevea brasiliensis (rubber tree). The record is from RNAcentral. Lineage: Eukaryota; Viridiplantae; Streptophyta; Magnoliopsida; Malpighiales; Euphorbiaceae.